Molecule: ribosomal RNA, 253 nt
Filed under: uncultured bacterium
Lineage: Bacteria
Description: partial 16S ribosomal RNA
Rfam family: Bacterial small subunit ribosomal RNA
Source: RNAcentral
UACGUAGGGUGCGAGUGUUGUCCGGAAUUAUUGGGCGUAAAGGGCUCGUAGGCGGUUUGUCGCGUCGGGAGUGAAAUCCACUGGCUUAACUGGUGGCUUGCUUUCGAUACGGGCAGACUGGAGGUAUGCAGGGGAGAACGGAAUUCCUGGUGUAGCGGUGAAAUGCGCAGAUAUCAGGAGGAACACCGGUGGCGAAGGCGGUUCUCUGGGCAUGUCCUGACGCUGAGGAGCGAAAGCGUGGGGAGCGAACAGG